Molecule: ribosomal RNA, 1554 nt
Filed under: Klebsiella aerogenes
Lineage: Bacteria; Pseudomonadati; Pseudomonadota; Gammaproteobacteria; Enterobacterales; Enterobacteriaceae
Description: bacterial SSU rRNA
Rfam family: Bacterial small subunit ribosomal RNA
Source: RNAcentral
ACUUAAAUUGAAGAGUUUGAUCAUGGCUCAGAUUGAACGCUGGCGGCAGGCCUAACACAUGCAAGUCGAGCGGUAGCACAGAGAGCUUGCUCUCGGGUGACGAGCGGCGGACGGGUGAGUAAUGUCUGGGAAACUGCCUGAUGGAGGGGGAUAACUACUGGAAACGGUAGCUAAUACCGCAUAACGUCGCAAGACCAAAGUGGGGGACCUUCGGGCCUCAUGCCAUCAGAUGUGCCCAGAUGGGAUUAGCUAGUAGGUGGGGUAAUGGCUCACCUAGGCGACGAUCCCUAGCUGGUCUGAGAGGAUGACCAGCCACACUGGAACUGAGACACGGUCCAGACUCCUACGGGAGGCAGCAGUGGGGAAUAUUGCACAAUGGGCGCAAGCCUGAUGCAGCCAUGCCGCGUGUAUGAAGAAGGCCUUCGGGUUGUAAAGUACUUUCAGCGAGGAGGAAGGCGUUAAGGUUAAUAACCUUAGCGAUUGACGUUACUCGCAGAAGAAGCACCGGCUAACUCCGUGCCAGCAGCCGCGGUAAUACGGAGGGUGCAAGCGUUAAUCGGAAUUACUGGGCGUAAAGCGCACGCAGGCGGUCUGUCAAGUCGGAUGUGAAAUCCCCGGGCUCAACCUGGGAACUGCAUUCGAAACUGGCAGGCUAGAGUCUUGUAGAGGGGGGUAGAAUUCCAGGUGUAGCGGUGAAAUGCGUAGAGAUCUGGAGGAAUACCGGUGGCGAAGGCGGCCCCCUGGACAAAGACUGACGCUCAGGUGCGAAAGCGUGGGGAGCAAACAGGAUUAGAUACCCUGGUAGUCCACGCCGUAAACGAUGUCGACUUGGAGGUUGUGCCCUUGAGGCGUGGCUUCCGGAGCUAACGCGUUAAGUCGACCGCCUGGGGAGUACGGCCGCAAGGUUAAAACUCAAAUGAAUUGACGGGGGCCCGCACAAGCGGUGGAGCAUGUGGUUUAAUUCGAUGCAACGCGAAGAACCUUACCUACUCUUGACAUCCAGAGAACUUAGCAGAGAUGCUUUGGUGCCUUCGGGAACUCUGAGACAGGUGCUGCAUGGCUGUCGUCAGCUCGUGUUGUGAAAUGUUGGGUUAAGUCCCGCAACGAGCGCAACCCUUAUCCUUUGUUGCCAGCGGUUAGGCCGGGAACUCAAAGGAGACUGCCAGUGAUAAACUGGAGGAAGGUGGGGAUGACGUCAAGUCAUCAUGGCCCUUACGAGUAGGGCUACACACGUGCUACAAUGGCAUAUACAAAGAGAAGCGACCUCGCGAGAGCAAGCGGACCUCAUAAAGUAUGUCGUAGUCCGGAUUGGAGUCUGCAACUCGACUCCAUGAAGUCGGAAUCGCUAGUAAUCGUAGAUCAGAAUGCUACGGUGAAUACGUUCCCGGGCCUUGUACACACCGCCCGUCACACCAUGGGAGUGGGUUGCAAAAGAAGUAGGUAGCUUAACCUUCGGGAGGGCGCUUACCACUUUGUGAUUCAUGACUGGGGUGAAGUCGUAACAAGGUAACCGUAGGGGAACCUGCGGUUGGAUCACCUCCUUACCUUAAAGAA